UUUUUGAUUUUAAUUUAAAGUCUAAUCUGCCCACUGAUUUAUUAAAGGGCUGCAGUAAUUUGACUGUACAAAGGUAGCAUAAUCAUUAGCCUUUUAAUUGAAGGCUUGUAUGAAAGAUUUGAUGAAAUAUAAACUGUCUCUAAUUUAAAAUUAAAAUUUAAUUUUUUAGUUAAAAAGCUAAAAUAAUUUUAAAAGACGAGAAGACCCUAUAGAGUUUUAUAAUUAAUAAUUUUAAAUAAUUAUAUAAAAUUUUAAUAUUUAAUAUUAUUCAUUAUUUUAUUGGGGUGAUAAAAAAAUUUAAUUAACUUUUUUUCUUGUUUAUCAAAAAUAAAUGAUUAAUUGAUCCUGUUUAAAGAUUAAAAGAAAUAAUUACCUUAGGGAUAACAGCGUAAUAUUUUUUUUUAGUACAAAUAAAAAAAAAAGUUUGCGACCUCGAUGUUGGAUUAAGAUAAAAUUUAAAUGCAAAAGUUUAAAAUUUUGAUCUGUUCGAUCAUUAAAAUCUUACAUGAU
RNAcentral lists this ribosomal RNA (510 nucleotides) under Euchrysops cnejus. RNAcentral describes it as "partial 16S ribosomal RNA". The stretch from base 380 to 510 matches the Rfam family "Archaeal large subunit ribosomal RNA", at positions 2542 to 2673 of the family's 2987-position model. Lineage: Eukaryota; Metazoa; Arthropoda; Insecta; Lepidoptera; Lycaenidae. The record is from RNAcentral.